AUUGAACGCUGGCGGCAUGCCUUACACAUGCAAGUCGAACGGUAACGGGCCUUCGGGUGCCGACGAGUGGCGAACGGGUGAGUAAUACAUCGGAACGUGCCCGAUCGUGGGGGAUAACGAGGCGAAAGCUUUGCUAAUACCGCAUACGAUCUACGGAUGAAAGCAGGGGACCGCAAGGCCUUGCGCGGACGGAACGGCCGAUGGCAGAUUAGGUAGUUGGUGGGAUAAAAGCUUACCAAGCCGACGAUCUGUAGCUGGUCUGAGAGGAUGAUCAGCCACACUGGGACUGAGACACGGCCCAGACUCCUACGGGAGGCAGCAGUGGGGAAUUUUGGACAAUGGGCGCAAGCCUGAUCCAGCCAUGCCGCGUGCAGGAUGAAGGCCUUCGGGUUGUAAACUGCUUUUGUACGGAACGAAAAGCCUUCUUUUAAUACAGGAGGGUCAUGACGGUACCGUAAGAAUAAGCACCGGCUAACUACGUG
This 482-nucleotide ribosomal RNA is filed under the name uncultured bacterium. RNAcentral's name for it is "partial 16S ribosomal RNA". It matches the Rfam family "Bacterial small subunit ribosomal RNA", at positions 30 to 507 of the family's 1533-position model. The record is from RNAcentral.